Molecule: unclassified non-coding RNA, 316 nt
Filed under: Hevea brasiliensis (rubber tree)
Lineage: Eukaryota; Viridiplantae; Streptophyta; Magnoliopsida; Malpighiales; Euphorbiaceae
Source: RNAcentral
GGGCUGCACUAUUAGAAGAUCGUUGUGGGAUCACACCCCGAAUGACAAGUUAAGGAAACAGGCUGAUAGCAAUGGCAAUGAAAGUUCAAUUCCAGGACAGAAUUUUAUUGGCAAUAAGUUGGCAAAAUUUGUUGACAUGACGGAGAUGAGCAAGGGACCUCGAGAUCCUCCGGGUCAUUGGGUUGUCACAGGUGGAAAACUUGGUGUUGAUAAAGGGAAAAUUGUUUUGAGAUUGAAGUAUUCUUUGUUAAAUUAUUAGUUAGAAAGGGAGAGAUGGUGAAUUAUAUUGGUGUUCUUGUGUACUCAACUUUGUUUC